Molecule: non-coding RNA, 72 nt
Organism: Pelobates cultripes (western spadefoot toad)
Lineage: Eukaryota; Metazoa; Chordata; Amphibia; Anura; Pelobatidae
Source: the annotation of a GenBank genome assembly
CUCCAGGACACUCCUGACACCAUAACCACUACAGUGCUCUGUAGUGGUUUUGGUGCUAGGAGUUUUUCUAUA